UCUCAUCUUUGCCUCAUUCUCAUAGUUUGGCUUCCUUUCAUUCGUUAUUUUUCUUUAAAUAGUGUGGUUUUAAAUUAGAUUUUUAGGUUUAAUUUUCAAAGAUUUUCCUCCUUUUGAUUUUUUACAAUUUACUAUUUACGUUUAUUUUCACUUGCUUGCGUAUGGUUUAUUUACUUCAUCGUCAUUUACCCUUUUUUGAAAGUUUGAUAGUUUGUGUUUGACUACUUUGUUUCAAUUUUACCAUGUGUUUGACAAAAAUGCAGUGAUCAAGGAGUAGUUGCAGAGUGAUAAUGAAGGUCUUUAUUAUGCUUCAAAGUGUUGGAUUUGUAAGGAAAAACAAGAAACCCAAAGUAAAACAACAUGGCCAAAUUCAAAGACGCAGUUGUUAAUCACAAGGGAUCAUUUGGCCGACCUACAAAUUCUGAGGAAACAAUGAAAAGUAAAGAAGAAGUAUGCAUUCAAGUAAGAGAAUGAUUCAAGGAAUUUCAGUGAGAUGACAAUA
Camelina sativa (false flax) is the source of this 502-nucleotide non-coding RNA. NCBI's taxonomy places the organism in Eukaryota, Viridiplantae, Streptophyta, Magnoliopsida, Brassicales, Brassicaceae. The record is from RefSeq and is a predicted model, not a curated record.